AAAAAGAACACAAGUUUUCCCAGAAAGGACUUUGGGUUCCUGAAGCCAAUGAUUAACAAGCCUUUAAGUAGGCUCUACACUCAGGGUGGAGCCUGGUGCCAGGCUUGAAGGCGUGACCCUGAGAUCAAGACUUGAGAGGCUUCUACUGGUUGUUGCUUUCAGGUACCUUGAAGAAAUCAUUCUUUCCAACAUCACAUAAAAGAUGAAAUUCAUGUUCCAAUUUGACAGUGAUGGAAGAGAAUGGUUAAUUAUUUUUAUGUAUUUAACUUUAGAGUUAUUACUCUAUUAUAAAAUCACCUAAAUAAAAAUUCUUUAUUCUUUCAAGAA
Canis lupus familiaris (dog) is the source of this 327-nucleotide long non-coding RNA. RefSeq lists it as uncharacterized. Lineage: Eukaryota; Metazoa; Chordata; Mammalia; Carnivora; Canidae. The record is from RefSeq and is a predicted model, not a curated record. The transcript is spliced from 3 exons.